RNAcentral lists this ribosomal RNA (671 nucleotides) under uncultured bacterium. RNAcentral's name for it is "bacterial SSU rRNA". It matches the Rfam family "Bacterial small subunit ribosomal RNA", at positions 8 to 650 of the family's 1533-position model. The record is from RNAcentral.
AGAGUUUGAUCCUGGCUCAGAACGAACGCUGGCGGCGUGCUUAAUACAUGCAAGUCGUGCGAGAAAAUCCCGCUUCGGUGGGGUGAGUAGAGCGGCAAACGGGUGAGUAACACGUAAGGAAUCUACCUCCAAGUCCGGAAUAGCUCUGCCAACGCGGAGUUAAUGCCGGAUGUGGUUAUCGGGUCGCAUGGCCUGGUGACUGAAGGUGACCUCUUCGUCUGAAAGUUAUCGCUUGGAGAUGACCUUGCGGCCCAUUAGCUUGUUGGCGGGGUAACGGCCCACCAAGGCUACGAUGGGUAGCCGGCCUGAGAGGGUGAACGGCCACAUUGGGACUGAGACACGGCCCAGACUCCUACGGGAGGCAGCAGUAGGGAAUUUCGCGCAAUGGGCGAAAGCCUGACGCAGCAACGCCGCGUGAGGGAUGAAGGUCUUCGGGUUGUAAACCUCUGUUGAGUGGGAAGAAACGCAUCGAGGUUAAUAUCUUCGGUGUCUGACGGUACCAUUCGAGGAAGCCCCGGCUAACUACGUGCCAGCAGCCGCGGUAAUACGUAGGGGGCUAGCGUUGUUCGGAAUCACUGGGCGUAAAGGGAGUGUAGGCGGAGAUGCAAGUCAGAAGUGUAACCUACGGGCUCAACCCGUAGCUUGCUUCUGAUACUGUUUCUCUGAGUAGG